This is a small nucleolar RNA of Quercus robur (English oak), 97 nucleotides long. RefSeq annotates it as small nucleolar RNA snoR137. The record is from RefSeq and is a predicted model, not a curated record. Lineage: Eukaryota; Viridiplantae; Streptophyta; Magnoliopsida; Fagales; Fagaceae. The transcript has a single exon.
GUUGUUUGUUUGAAGCAUAAAUUGAUAGAUAUGUUCCAGUAUUUAACAGCAUGAUGUUCAUCUCUUAGCAUUGUGUUACCUGUCUUCUGGUAAAUCU